CCUACGGGAGGCUGCAGUGGGGAAUAUUGGACAAUGGGCCACAAGCCUGAUCCAGCAAUUCUGUGUGCACGAUGAAGGUCUUCGGAUUGUAAAGUGCUUUCAGUUGGGAAGAAGAAAGUGACGGUACCAACAGAAGAAGCGACGGCUAAAUACGUGCCAGCAGCCGCGGUAAUACGUAUGUCGCAAGCGUUAUCCGGAUUUAUUGGGCGUAAAGCGCGUCUAGGCGGAAAAAUAAGUCUGAUGUUAAAAUGCGGGGCUCAACUCCGUAUUGCGUUGGAAACUGUUUUUCUAGAGUACUGGAGAGGUGGGCGGAACUACAAGUGUAGAGGUGAAAUUCGUAGAUAUUUGUAGGAAUGCCGAUGGAGAAGUCAGCUCACUGGACAGAUACUGACGCUGAAGCGCGAAAGCGUGGGGAGCAAACAGGAUUAGAUACCCUGGUAGUC
RNAcentral lists this ribosomal RNA (443 nucleotides) under Escherichia coli. RNAcentral's name for it is "bacterial SSU rRNA". It matches the Rfam family "Bacterial small subunit ribosomal RNA", at positions 338 to 795 of the family's 1533-position model. The record is from RNAcentral. Lineage: Bacteria; Pseudomonadati; Pseudomonadota; Gammaproteobacteria; Enterobacterales; Enterobacteriaceae.